GACGAACGCUGGCGGCGUGCCUAAUACAUGCAAGUCGAGCGAAGUUUUUCUGGUGCUUGCACUAGAAAAACUUAGCGGCGAACGGGUGAGUAACACGUAAAGAACCUGCCUCAUAGACUGGGACAACUAUUGGAAACGAUAGCUAAUACCGGAUAACAGCAUUAACUGCAUGGUUGAUGUUUGAAAGUUGGUUUUGCUAACACUAUGAGAUGGCUUGCGGUGCAUUAGCUAGUUGGUGGGGUAAAGGCCUACCAAGGCGACGAUGCAUAGCCGACCUGAGAGGGUGAUCGGCCACACUGGGACUGAGACACGGCCCAGACUCCUACGGGAGGCAGCAGUAGGGAAUCUUCCGCAAUGGGCGAAAGCCUGACGGAGCAACGCCGCGUGAGUGAAGAAGGAUUUCGGUUCGUAAAGCUCUGUUGUUAGGGAAGAAUGA
RNAcentral lists this ribosomal RNA (436 nucleotides) under Gemella morbillorum. RNAcentral describes it as "bacterial SSU rRNA". It matches the Rfam family "Bacterial small subunit ribosomal RNA", at positions 28 to 452 of the family's 1533-position model. Lineage: Bacteria; Bacillati; Bacillota; Bacilli; Caryophanales; Gemellaceae. The record is from RNAcentral.